RNAcentral lists this ribosomal RNA (268 nucleotides) under uncultured bacterium. RNAcentral's name for it is "partial 16S ribosomal RNA". It matches the Rfam family "Bacterial small subunit ribosomal RNA", at positions 1235 to 1500 of the family's 1533-position model. The record is from RNAcentral.
UGUUUAACAAAGAGAAGCAAAGCCGCGAGGUAGAGCAAAUCUCAAAAAAACAAUCUCAGUUCAGACUGCAGGCUGCAACUCGCCUGCACGAAGUCGGAAUUGCUAGUAAUCGUAGGUCAGCAUACUACGGUGAAUACGUUCCCGGGCCUUGUACACACCGCCCGUCAAACCAUGAGAGUUGGCAACACCCGAAGUCGGUAGUCUAACCGCAAGGAGGACGCCGCCGAAGGUGGGGUUGAUGAUUAGGGUUAAGUCGUAACAAGGUAAC